UACGUAGGGUGCGAGCGUUACUCGGAAUUACUGGGCGUAAAGCGUGCGCAGGCGGUUAUGUAAGACAGAGGUGAAAUCCCCGGGCUCAACCUGGGAACUGCCUUUGUGACUGCAUGGCUAGAGUGCGGCAGAGGGGGAUGGAAUUCCGCGUGUAGCAGUGAAAUGCGUAGAUAUGCGGAGGAACACCGAUGGCGAAGGCAAUCCCCUGGGCCUGCACUGACGCUCAUGCACGAAAGCGUGGGGAGCAAACAGG
RNAcentral lists this ribosomal RNA (253 nucleotides) under uncultured bacterium. RNAcentral's name for it is "partial 16S ribosomal RNA". It matches the Rfam family "Bacterial small subunit ribosomal RNA", at positions 524 to 776 of the family's 1533-position model. The record is from RNAcentral.